Molecule: long non-coding RNA, 3366 nt
Organism: Paramisgurnus dabryanus
Lineage: Eukaryota; Metazoa; Chordata; Actinopteri; Cypriniformes; Cobitidae
Source: RefSeq, a predicted model, not a curated record
UGCGCCUCCUGCAGCCAUGUUACGGCAGCAAAGUCCUUGAUUAUUAAACCAGAAUAAGGGGCUGGACACACCAAAACUUUUAAACGAGGCUGAAAACGCCUUGAGGACGCCGAAUGCCAGCUGUUUUUCAGCUGAGUGCCAGCUUUCUUCAGCUGAGCGCUUUGGUAGCAUUGAUACUUCAGCUGCGAGCCGGUUGGUUGCUGUGGUAAUGUCCCGCCCCUCCUCCACUGUGAUUGGGCGGCCGUGUGAGAACUGACAUUGACGAGCGGAGCUUUUCUCCCAAAGUUGAAUCUCUUUCAACUCUCGACGGUCAGCGCCGAGCGCGGAAAAACCGUCGAGCGCAAGUUUUCAGCGCGGAAAAAAACCGCUAGCUGCUGGCUUAUUUGAAAAACGCCGAGCUUCCAUUGGAAACAAUUUAAAACAUGCGCCGGCCGCGGGCGUAAAAGUUUUGGUGUACGCAACCCCUAAGAGUAUAGUUCCUAGCCAUAUCUGCCUAGAAAAUCACAACUUUUAAUUUUCUGUCGGCCUUAGUACACGAUGUAACUACAGAAGAGUCAAGUUUUAAAUAGGAAAAAUAUAGAAACUCUUUGGUUAUUUUUUUUACCGCAAUGCUAAUGGUCUAAUCAGAGUCAAUGGAUUGUGCUAAGCUAUACUAGCGCCAGACUUGGAGAUCAGUUGAAUGGAUUCCAAAAUGGUAAAAAUCUAAUGCUUAACCUAAGGGGAGCUGGAAAAUAAGCCUAUUUUCAAAAAAGUGGAGUGUCCCUUUAACGUUGAAUCAUUACUUGAAUUUUAAGUUGUAGAAGUAGUAUAUUUACAAUCAUGUGCAUUCAAUGUGCAUAGAUAACGUAUUCAAAAAAUGCUGGAAUCACAAGGUUAACAGCCUACAUUUUAUCUCCUUGAAUGUUUUUAAACGCGUGUCAUAGAUGGAAUUGACAUUUUUACUGUUGCUUUUUAUGUAAAUCAAUUGAGCACAUGAUGAUUGGGGUCCCUGGGUUAGUUCUGUUUAAUGGUAAAUUAAAUAUGAACGCUGACAGCAAAGGUUUACCUUACUGCCCUAUGUAAAUGAGUAAAAUACUAUGGAGUGCUUUUAAAACGAAGUGCCUUAGUGUGUCAUUAACGUAGCCUGUCAAAAUGAAAUUCACGCUUUAUACUCGGCUCCUAAAUAUAAGAGCAAUAUAUAAACAAAACACUAACACUGAAUACUAAAUUUAAAUCUCUUUUUAAUGCACAAACACCUUCCCCAUUUAUAACCCUAAUGAUAAAGUUUUGAGUAAAGACUCGGCUCAAACAUGUCCAUUAAGGCAGUUUAGGGAAUGUUAUUUAGAAACCCCAUAAAAGACCUGCUUCAGAGAGUGCUUUGCAUCUAUUGUCUCUGUGCUGUCUGCUAGACUCUGAUCCUCAAUAGGGGGUGCAAUCUGUUCCCACGGGAUUGAGUCAGUGUUCUAGAACACUUGGCUGUUGAUCUUCUUGACAUGAUUACAGUUGCGUUUAUUUUCUGGUGUCUGCUACAAGCACAUCCAAUGGAACGACUCUAACAGGACUAUUUUCAUGGUUUCCAAGUCUCAUUUUAAAACCUUGUAGAUGAACUAUGUGAGUUUUAGGGAGAGCCUUUAUAUUUGCUAGACAGGUGUAUGAUGCAUAAAAUGGAUAACACUACACCAGUUGAUUAUUUAGUUUCACUUGAAUUCACAUCUUAUGUAAGACCACUUAACGUUCCUCUUUUGAAUUAAAUUUACCACUGAUUUUUCUUUACUCACAAUCUUCUCUACUAAUUAUGUCCACAUAGGGUUAAUGUAGUUAUACAUUGUUAAACUGUACUUUCUUCCUCAACUAAAUUUUGCACCUGUUUGCCUCAGCGCUCAAGUCUGACCCAUUACUAGAUCUGCAUUACCAAAGCACAUGUUCUAAAAAUCUUUUCAUCUCAUCUGGCCAGAGCCAAGAGUUAGCCAACUAGGUCAGAAAUUUCAUGUCAGCACAGAACUUGAAUGUUUUUGUUACCAGAAAUACUGCCUUGUUUUCUAUUUAAGCCCAUUGGAAAUGGUAUAAUGAACCAUACUAUUUGUGACCCUGGACCACAAAACCAGUCAUAAGGGUCUUUUUUUAAGAUUUAUACAUCAUCUGAAAGCCGAAUAAAUAAGCUUUACAGUUGAUGUAUGUUUUGUUAGGAUAGGUCAAUAUUUGGUUGAAAUAAAGCUAUUUGAGGGUGCAAAACAAUAGGCUUUAUGCCCAGCUGCACUACUUCCUGAACUUCAGCCAGCUCCUUGUUUCCUGUCUGCCAUUAUUGGACAAACUGAUUAAUCCAGGUGUGCCUGACCUCAGUAGUCACAACAACAAUAAUCAGACACACCUGGAUUAAUCAGUUUGUUUGUAAAUCUAAAAUGCAAGCCAAACCAAAGCUCGGGUCUUAGGAGGUUAAAGGUGAAAUUUUUCCAUGUUAAAAUAUUAUAAUGCAUUUUUUCUUAUAUUAAAGUAUAAUUGUUUUUGUUCAGUUUGGUAGUCCGACUAAUGAAAUAUGAGAAGUUUAUUACAGUCUUUAUUUUUGCAAUUCUGUUACACAAAUGUGACCCUGGACCACAAAACCUGGUCUUGAGUAGCAUCGGUAUAUUUGUAGCAAAAGCCAAAAAUACAUUGUACGGGUCAAAUUUAUAGAUUUUGAAGUCAAAAAUCACUAGCAUAUUAAGUAACAAUCAUGUUUCAUAAAGAUAUUUUUUACAUUUUUGCAUCCUCAGAUUGCAGGUUUUCAAAUAGUUUUAUCUUGGCCAAAUACUGUCAUAUCCUAACAAACCAUACAUCAAUGGAAACUUAUUUACUUAUAAACUCAUGAUGUAUAAAUCUCAAUUUCAAAAAUGUACUCAUAUAAGAGGUUUUGUGGCUUAGGGUCACAAAUGGCAUAGAAAUAACACUUUUAGCAUGAUGUUAGCGUAGCACAGAAAUAAGUCACUCAGAUUUCUGUCAUAACAAACUGCUUUAAAAUCAUUGCUUUAUAAACUGACUAAAUCUAGCUAUACUAGCUAUCUAAAUUUCCCUUCUUGAAUAAAGAACGUUACCAUAACAGUCAUGUAUGGUGAUAUCCGGUGCUGCCAGCAACUUUUUACAACCACAAGUUGAGCUAAGGAAAUGUAUAAAGUCAUUUUGACCCUUUAUAUUAUGUUUGUUCAGUUUUUGUCUGUACACAAUAGCAACAUCAAGUGCCUCAAAAUGGCCUCAAAAUGUAUUAUAGUGUGUAGUUCUGGGAGGCAUUUUUGUGCAACAUGUGAUCUUUAAGAUCUGUUGAUGGUUUACUAAUAAUGCUUUUACAUUGUGAAUAUUGUUGAACGUCAAAUUUCAAACAAUGGCUGAAAUAAAGUGGACAAGUUUGAAAUGUAA